RNAcentral lists this unclassified non-coding RNA (259 nucleotides) under Bombus terrestris (buff-tailed bumblebee). Its description in RNAcentral is "misc RNA ENSBTSG00005024218.1". The record is from RNAcentral. Lineage: Eukaryota; Metazoa; Arthropoda; Insecta; Hymenoptera; Apidae.
GAGUGCCUGCGUCUGCCAGUCAUUUAGCCCGCGUGUCUACCGCCAGUCAUUUGCCAAGUUCGUUUUCAGACCAACGAAAAGAAAAGCCAUCUGGUUCCAGUACGGAUUGGUGGGACGAGCGUGUCGCCAGAGCUUGUUGCACGUUCUUGAACGUGUCACGCGUUUUACAGGGAAAACUCGACUAGUGACAGCGGAAGAAGAAUUUCCAUGGCCGCGAGGAUCCGCGGUAGAAUUGAAGCCAACCAACCACCGAACGAAC